This is a long non-coding RNA of Nanorana parkeri, 178 nucleotides long. RefSeq lists it as uncharacterized. Lineage: Eukaryota; Metazoa; Chordata; Amphibia; Anura; Dicroglossidae. The record is from RefSeq and is a predicted model, not a curated record. The transcript has 3 exons.
AGAAAAGGAAGGAGGGACUGUAGCAUGUAAAGUCUAAUUUAAUCUUCAAAUUCAUGUCAUCAGCCAUACUGCAUUUCAAAAGCCAGAACAUUAUGAUCCAAAUAAUAUCGAAUAAAUGACCAAAUUGAUACCCAAUUCAGAGUCUUAAAGCUGAACUCCAAGCAAACGGGUAAAUACA